UACGGGGGGAGCUAGCGUUGUUCGGAUUUACUGGGCGUAAAGGGUGCGUAGGUGGCGAGGUAAGUUUGAUGUGAAAUCUCCGGGCUUAACCCGGAAAUGGCAUUGAAUACUCUCUCGCUCGAGGGUUGGAGGGGGGACUGGAAUUCUCGGUGUAGCAGUGAAAUGCGUAAAUAUCGAGAGGAACACCAGUGGCGAAGGCGAGUCCCUGGACAACUCCUGACACUGAGGCACGAAAGCUAGGGGAGCAAACAGG
Molecule: ribosomal RNA, 253 nt
Filed under: uncultured bacterium
Lineage: Bacteria
Description: partial 16S ribosomal RNA
Rfam family: Bacterial small subunit ribosomal RNA
Source: RNAcentral